UAACUUGACGACCGUGAAUCAAUGAACACUUUUUAUUUGUUGUUUUGUUCUAAAACCUGAUAAUGUGAUCGUAACUUCUAAAAAUGAAUACUUUUAUUUGGCUUGCAACGCAUAGGUGCACAUGUGCUGACAUGACACUGACGCGAAUGCGAAGAGGCCGACGAGGCGCUGCUCAUGGCUGUAUUUUAACUAAGUUAAUUUAAAUGGCUCAGGGAAAGUUCAAGCUGAAGAAGGCAGGGGCUUCUAAGAAAAAGCAGCAAAAUGCUUAUAAGAACCAAGCAUCGAAGUCAAAGAGGGGCCAAAGUUCAGUCAUUCCUGCUAAGAAAGCCAACCUUCAACAACAGCAAAAAGUAAUGAAGACUCUCACAAAGAAAAUAAAUGAAAAGGCUGAAAAUGAUCUAAAGGCAAGAUCAUAUCAGUCUGAUGGAAAGUCUUUUAAGGUGCUUGGGAAAGUGGACACUGUAAAGGAUGCCAAAAAAGUGGCGGGGAAAGGCAAGAAAGCGAAAACACAGAAGACUGGCAAGAAAAAGUAGAGGGUAUGUGUGAUAUAGUGCUAUAUUUGUGUUAUAUUAUCUCAUCAUCACAUCUUGGCCAACAUACUUGAUUGUGGGAGUACCUACAGUACAGAAACAAAGACCAUCACUACGGCAUUCAUAAUUGGAUAUUCACUUCAUUCAUCAACAUUGACAUAAGGAAUAUUCUUUGAAUGUUUGAACUUUGAAUACAUCAACUUCUGAUAAAU
Amphibalanus amphitrite is the source of this 742-nucleotide long non-coding RNA. RefSeq lists it as uncharacterized. Lineage: Eukaryota; Metazoa; Arthropoda; Thecostraca; Balanomorpha; Balanidae. The record is from RefSeq and is a predicted model, not a curated record. The transcript is spliced from 3 exons.